GCAGAUCCCAGUGAUGAACUUCGGCCCAGACCGCACUGUGGAAGCCGGUGGGUUUGGAAGCCACUGCUGUGGGUCGGCAAGGAGAAUUCAAGCCCCGAACAUUGUGCAAACAGGAUAUUCACUUGUGUCAGAGAGAUCAAAAAAGGCUUGAGGUUUUUCUUCACAGCCUCAGCCUGCCUCCCUCUCCUCUCUCACUUUAUCUAGUCCUUGCAGUGAGCAGGCGCCUCUUGUACAGCAAGCAGGAAGACAUGGCUGCGGGGGAGACACAGCUCUAUGCCAAGGUCUCCAACAAGCUCAAGGGCCGCAGCACCCCCUCACUCCUGGAUCCCCUCCUGGCCAUGGGCUUCCCCACACAUACCGCGCUCAAAGCACUAGCGGCCACAGGGAGGAAGACAGCCGAGGCGGCAGCAGACUGGCUGCAUGGUCACUGCAAUGACCCUUCUCUGGAUGACCCUAUCCCUCAGGAGUAUGCUCUCUUCCUCUGCCCCACGGGCCCCUUGCUGGAAAAACUCCAAGAGUUCUGGAGAGAGAGCAGACGGCAGUGUGCAAAGAACAGAGCACAUGAGGUCUUCCCUCACGUGACACUCUGUGACUUUUUCACGUGUGAAGACCAGAAGGUGGAGUGCUUGUAUGAGGCUCUGAGACGUGCAGGGGACAGGAUCCUGGGCUCCUUCCCCACCCUGGUUCCUCUUGUUCUCCAUUCUUCCAUCAGCUACCUCGGCUUCUUCAUCAACGACAGCCCCGCUGACGCCAUCCGGGAAUUCGCCAUGGCGUUUGCCACAGAGGCGGCAGUCCUGGCAGACUGUACCAUCAAGCCCUGCACCAAGCAGCUGCACCUGACCUUGGCCCAUAAGUUCUACCCUCACCAUCAAAGGACCCUGGAGCAGCUGGCCAAAGCCAUCCAGCCCAGCCACUCCUGCCAAUGGACAGCUGCCCUGUACUCCCGAGACAUGCGUUUUGUGCACUACCAGACCCUGAAGGCGCUGUUCCAGUACAAACCCCAGAAUGCAGAUGAGCUAAUGCUCAGUGCUGGUGACUACAUCUUCGUGGACCCCACUCAGCAAGAAGAGGCCAGCGAGGGCUGGGCCAUUGGGAUCUCACAUCGGACUGGCUGCCGGGGCUUCUUGCCAGAGAACUACACGGAGCGAGCCAAUGAGGCUGACACCUGGGUUAAGCACAGGACGUAUACAUUCAAUCUAGCCAUGGACCUGAACUCUAGGAAGGAUUUUGAAGCCAGUUGCAGGGGAAAUGGGGAACCCCACACUCCGUCAAUGUCAAAGAGUGUUAGCAGCAUACAAGCUUUGCAGGCUACCAUCUCGAGGAGAGGCAUUCUGGUCGUACGUCAUGGCGAGAGAGUGGACCAGGUCUUUGGGAAGUCUUGGCUACAGCAGUGUACUACUGCUGAUGGAAAAUACUACAGGCCAGACCUGAACUUCCCCCGCAGCCUGCCAAGGAGGAGCAACGGCAUCAAAGACUUUGAAAACGAUCCACCGCUAUCAUCCUGUGGAAUUUUCCAGGCCAGACUUGCCGGAGAAGCCCUGCUGGACAGCGGCGUCAGAGUCACCGCGGUCUUCGCGUCUCCAGCCCUGCGCUGCGUGCAGACAGCCAAGCACAUCCUAGAAGGUGGGAAUUUGCACAUCCGCUGAAGGUCCCUGCCAACUGUUGGUUUUUUGCCGGGUCAUUGAAGAGCCAGCGGCCAAUGGCUGGGAAAGGGGAGAGAGGCGGGACUUUUUGGAUUCGCAGGCAAGAAAUGCUAAGGAAAGAAGGGAAAGAAUGACCAGGAUUGGGAAGCAGAGCGAUCAGACUAAAGAGCCCACUAACAGGUAAGACUCCAGGUAAGUGGCCUCACACUCCCCCGAUUGGGUCUAGGGGAGCAGAGAUGAAAUAUAGAUUUGGCAAGUAUAACUCAGGAAUAUUGGAGGGGAAAGUGGGUUAGCCAUGUGGAGUUAGGGAGGAGCCCUGUUGCACUGUUAAGGCAUGAUAAAAAUUAAGCUGGCAUGACUUUCAUUUGUGAAUCCAGAGCUCUAUGGAGGGUGCAGAGCUGGGAGCAUCGAGUGGCCUAUAAAUAUUUACCGCAACACCAGAUGACAUCAACUACUCAACUAAGACACCUUCUUCAGAUGUAGAACUCUUGGCUCCUUCUCCAGUACCAUGUCUCCUUGUGCGUCACCAUGCUUCUGGCCAUGAUGCCAAGGACUGAGCCUCUGAACUGUAAGCCUGCCCCAAUUAAACGCUUCCCUUCAUAAGCGUUAUCGCGGUCAUGGUAUCUCUUCACAGCAAUAAAGCCCCAACUGAAACAAGCCCUAAUCCCUGCUCUCGGUGGAUCGCAGAGGGGUAAGCUUCCAGUUUGUCCCCCUAAACCAUGUUGGCAGAUGUGACUAUUCCCUGCCACGUCUAGUUUUCUCCCUCUUGGGAUAAUGUAGAGGACCAGUCACACCAGGCCAGUCCCUGCAGAGGUCAGGAUCAAGUGCAGACAAGCUGGACUUUAUGAGAAUCUAUGCUGGUCUCUCCAGGCUCACUCAGGUCCCUCAGACUGGCCGGAGGAUAGUUCGGUAGAGGAGGGAGAAACCUGCUCCUUCUAAGGUACCUCACACUAGCCCCGCCAACUCCAAAGGGUGUGCUUUCUUACCCUGGUCUAUGUCGUAGCUGUUCUCCUGGCUCUCCUGCCUGAACGUGUCUACGUCUUCAUCGGCCCCCCUCGGCUCCAGCUCGCCCUCAAAACCUUCUGCCUGGAUGUCUUCUGAGGGGUCACCCACGCCUGGGAUGAAGACAGCAGCGGCAGAUAGAAUGAGAUCACCAGAGAACAUGAGUGCAGGGACACCUGAUCCCAUUUGCUGUCGGCUGCCCAACCCAAGUCACUCCCACGGCCAGGCGAUAACUCUGACUAUUAGAGAAUCCCCCAGGGUUCCUGGGGCCUGCAUCUUAGCAGGACAUGUCUUCCAUCUAGUUGAUCUUUGUUCUCCUCCUCUACUCCCUGGGAGAGUCUCAUCCCCUUAUAACAUCCUGCACCCCAACUGACCCACUGGCCAUUUCCCAGAGGCCCCAGCUACACCAGGCCUGGGAACAGGUUCUCAGUGCCUUCACCCAUAGGGUGAGACAAGUAUUCAAGGAGAGGGGUAACCAAGCCGGCCCUGCAUCAGAGUCACUCAGAAUGCUCUCUGAAACACACACGCUUCUCACUUGGCCAGUUGGGAAUAGAAACUAAUAAUUUGCGUAGGUUCCAGGUCAGGAUUGCAGACUGGUCAUUUGCAUAGGAUCCCAAGUGACCCCUGAGGCUGCUGAGCCAGGAACUAUACUCAGAGACUAUCCCCAAAGGGGCCCAUGUGCUCUGGCACUAGCUGACUUUCCCCAGGUGGUGGGUGACCCUUCUUUCAGCUGCUGGCAAUCCACAACUGAUAGCUCAGAACCUGGGUGCCUCCCAUGGAUGUGACCCCCCCUCCCAUCAGCAAAGCCUCAGCACUGCACCACCCCCAUCUCCCACACCUGCUGCACGGCCCCUGGUUCAGGCAGGUCCCAGCUUCAGAGACGUCACAGCACUGGUCACCUCCUGUUUCUAGCCAAUCCUGGUUCUUCCGCAGUUGACCCUCCUCAGGUCAACUCCCAAUAAACUCUGUGUGUGUGUGCCUCAGA
RNA transcript from Mus musculus (house mouse), 3630 nucleotides. It is a transcript of the gene named ubiquitin associated and SH3 domain containing, A, with no coding region annotated. Lineage: Eukaryota; Metazoa; Chordata; Mammalia; Rodentia; Muridae. The transcript is spliced from 14 exons. The record is from RefSeq and is marked validated.